RNAcentral lists this ribosomal RNA (240 nucleotides) under uncultured Lactobacillus sp. RNAcentral's name for it is "partial 16S ribosomal RNA". It matches the Rfam family "Bacterial small subunit ribosomal RNA", at positions 125 to 355 of the family's 1533-position model. Lineage: Bacteria; Bacillati; Bacillota; Bacilli; Lactobacillales; Lactobacillaceae. The record is from RNAcentral.
CCUGCCCAAGAGAUCGGGAUAACACCUGGAAACAGAUGCUAAUACCGGAUAACAACAGAUGAUGCCUACCCUNAACUGUUUAAAAGAUGGUUCUGCUAUCACUCUUGGAUGGACCUGCGGUGCAUUAGCUAGUUGGUAGGGUAACGGCCUACCAAGGCGAUGAUGCAUAGCCGAGUUGAGAGACUGAUCGGCCACAUUGGGACUGAGACACGGCCCAAACUCCUACGGGAGGCAGCAGCC